Lupinus albus (white lupine) is the source of this 206-nucleotide non-coding RNA. The record is from the annotation of a GenBank genome assembly. Lineage: Eukaryota; Viridiplantae; Streptophyta; Magnoliopsida; Fabales; Fabaceae.
UUUUGUCCUCACAGUAAGAAGUAUUGGGCCGAGAGAGUGCUCAAAAAUAGCCCAAGAAAGGGUAUAAAGAAGUUUCGGAAUUCGCAUCAAUGGCGACUUCAGAAUCGGUACCUCCAGAACCCGAUAAUCACCUUACCUCUCUCGUUUACGAAAUAUCAAAUGAAGUCCAGGCGAUUAUGGAGAACAUGCUUAAGAUGAUCACGUGA